Molecule: ribosomal RNA, 407 nt
Filed under: uncultured bacterium
Lineage: Bacteria
Description: partial 16S ribosomal RNA
Rfam family: Bacterial small subunit ribosomal RNA
Source: RNAcentral
GACGAACGCUGGCGGCGUGCCUAAUACAUGCAAGUAGGACGCAGUUGCGAACGGGUGAGUAACGCGUAGGUAACUGCCCACUAGAGGGGGAUAACUAUGGGAAACGAUAGCUAAUACCGCAUACUAGUAGAUGGACCUGCGUUGUAGUAGCUAGUAGGUAGGGUAAUGGCCUACCUAGGCGACGAUACAUAGCCGACCAGCAUGGGUGACCGGCCAAGCUGGAAGUGAGCCACGGUCCAGACUCCUACCGUAGGCAGCAGUGGGGAAUAUUGCACAAUGAACGAAAGCCUGAUCCAGCCAUGCCGCGUGUGUGAAGAAGGUCUUCGGAUUGUAAGGCACUUAAUUGAGGGAAACGUUACCAACAGAAUAAGCACCGGCUAACUUCGUGCCAGCCGCCGCGGUAAUAC